Rattus norvegicus (Norway rat) is the source of this 6005-nucleotide non-coding RNA. The record is from RefSeq and is a predicted model, not a curated record. Lineage: Eukaryota; Metazoa; Chordata; Mammalia; Rodentia; Muridae.
GUGUAGGGGUGGAAUCUAAGGUUUCUGGAUGUCUUGGAGAGCUCUAGAUAUAACAUAUAUUUCUAUAUAUUAUAUAUACAUAUAUAUCCUUUAUUAGUAGUAUUUUCUACUACUGAUAGAAUGCAGUCUGAUUUAUUUAUUUCAAGUUUUUGAUACAGGAUCUCAUGUAGCCCAGGCUGGCAUCAAACUUUCUACUUAACCAAGGCUUGUCUUAAAUUCUAAUCUUGUCCUCACUUCCUAAAUGCUGGGUUUAUGGGUGGGGUCAGAGGCAAAAUUACAGGUGGGGUUAUAGGGGUUAUAGGUGGGGUAACAGGUGGGAUUCCAGAUGGGAUUAUAAGUGGGGUUACAGAUGGGAUUCCAGGUGGGGUAACAGGUGGGAUUCCAGGUGGGAUUAUAAAUGGGGUUACAGGUGAAAUUAUAAUGGGGUUAUAGGUGAGACUCCAGGACGUUACAGGAGGGAUUCCAGGUGGGAUUAUAAAUGGGGUUAUAGGCGGGAUUAUAGGUAGGUUUACAAAUGUGGUUACAAAUGUGGUUAGAGGCUGUGUUUAAGGGUUAGAGAUGUGCACUACCAGGCAUAGUUUUCAGCCUGACUCUUCAGUGAGGCACAGACAGAAGAACAAUGUCAUAUAAGAGCAAAAUGUUGACAAUAACCAUAAUCUAACUGCUGACAUCUCUACUCUUGGACUUUGGUGCUUGUGUGUGUGCCUGUGUGACCUGUUUGCCUAUGAGCCUGUACCUGUGUACCUGUGUGGCUGUGUGGCUGUGUGCCUGUGUGCCUGUGUGCCUGUGUGCCUGUGUGUCUUUGUGCCUGUAUGCUUAUGCCUGUGUGUCUUUGUGCCUGUAUGCUUAUGCCUGUGUGCCUGUGUACCUGUAUGCCUGUGUGCCUGUAUGCCUGUGUGCCUGUACCUGUGUACCUGUGUGCCUGUGUACCUAUGUGCCUGUAUCUUUGUGCCUGUGUGCCUAUAACUAUGUACCCAUGUGCCUGUGUGCCUGUGUACCUGUGUACCUGUGUGCCUGUGCCUGUGUGCCUGUGUGCCUGUGUGCUUGUGUGCCUGUAUGCCUGUGUGUCUUUGUGCCUGUAUGCUUAUGCCUGUGUGCCUGUGUGCCUGUGUGCCUGUGUGCCUGUGUGCCUGUACCUGUGUACCUGUGUGCCUGUGUACCUGUGUGCCUGUAUCUUUGUGCCUGUGUGCCUAUAACUGUGUACCCAUGUGCCUGUGUGCCUGUGUGCCUGUGUGCCUGUGUGCCUGUGUGCCUGUGUGCCUGUGUUCCUGUGUGUCUGUGUACCUGUGUGCCUGUGCCUGUAUGCCUAUACCUGUGUACCCAUGUGCCUGUGUGCCUGUACCUGUGUGCCUGUAUGCCUGUAUGCCUGUAUGCCUAUACGUGUGUACCCAUGUGCCUGUGUGCCUGUGUGCCUGUGUGCCUGUACCUGUGUGCCUGUGUGCCUGUAUACCUGUGUGCCUGUGUACCUGUGUGCCUGUGUGCCUGUAUGCCUGUGUACCUGUGUGCCUGUAUGCCUGUAUGCCUGUAUGCCUAUACCUGUGUACCCAUGUGCCUGUGUGCCUGUGUGCCUGUACCUGUGUGCCUGUGUGCCUGUAUGCCUGUGUGCCUGUGUGCCUGUAUGCCUGUGUGCCUAUACCUGUGGGCCUAUACCUUUGUGCCUGUGUGCCUGUGUGCCUGUGUGCCUGUGUGCCUGUGUGCAUGCAGGUGCAGCCUUAGGCAUCCUCAGGAAUCAUCCAUAUUGAUUUUUGAGAAAGGUCUCUUGCCGAGCCAGGAACUCAGGCAGCUGAACUGGCUGGCCUGCUUGUCUGAGGCAUCCAACCGUCUCUGCCAUCCCGGAGCUAGGAUUACAAAUGUGUGCCACCACAGUGGGCUUUUUACAUGGAUGCUUAGGAUCAAACCCAGGUCCCCACAUCCGUGGGACAACCAUGUUUCCGGCUGAGCCACACCCCCCUCCCCGCACCUGCUUUGAGAUUUUAAUGAAGUAAAGGGUUUCUGAACACAAACAUGGACCUCACAGCCUAGGUGACGGUGACGUCACACGCAGCACAGGCAGUCUGUACAUAGGAAGGGGUCCGGGAACUGGGUGGGAUAGAGCUGGGAAGGACUCGAUCUUCCCAGUACUCGAGUUUGUGAUUCUGGAAUUUUCCAUUUAGUAUUGUUGAACCAUCCCGGCCUGGAUGACUCAAACCACAGUGGAGCUGCGCAUACGGGAAGAUCGGUUUAUUAUUACUUUUUCUGGCUGAGGCAAAGAUAAGUUUGGGUUCCUCACAUGGUUAGGAAGGAUUUGAUGCCAAGGGUGCCCUCAGGAGGCCUGCAGCUUAGUGACAGGAUACUGCCCACGGUGAGGCUCAAAACCAUUUGUUUAUGAGCGUUACGGCAAGCUAAGAGCUAGGUCUGGGUCGUCCACAGCCCGAGACCUCCUCCCACCUAGGAACUUCCACAAAUGACUCAAGGCCCAACUCAAAUGUUCCCACCCCCAUGAGUGAAUUCGCCAAAUCCCUCCCAGGGAUCCUUCCUGUGUUCUUACACGGUCUCUCCUGGUCUCCACGUGGACCUGGGCAGGGUCCUGUGACUCCCUCAGCUGUCACGGAGCAUAGGGGAGGCUUUGGGUGAGCCCCUGCUUCAGGUAGGGACCUUGUUUGAUUGGGUGACUUCUGUCAUCCUGGGCCAGGGACAUUGCUGGAUAGCUUCUGUAGUCUGUGGAUGAUGUAAUCCUACUGUCUCCGGAGCUGGGCUGGUUUGGUCAUUACACUAGAAGGUCUGGAUUUCUCUCGAGGAAGCAGGAGUGCAUUCCCCCUCCCCCUGUAACCCUGUUCCUCCAGAAGACAGCCCCAGCUGUCAGGGCACAGCCAGGGUCAGCCUGACAUGGCUGAGAGUGAAUUUUCACUUUUCUGUGGCUCCCUAGAGUUUCCCCUGGAACACAGAUGCGGCACUGGCCCUGGGUGUCUCAUCAGAAGGACAUGCUGGCCCUGGGUGCCUCACCGGAACACAAGGCCCUGAAUAGCCCCAUGGGACCAGGCCCUAGUGCCAGCCACUUGCCAACUGGGCUCCUGUCUCUUCACUGUGUCUCUUGUUUUUGUCCUGGAGAGUAGAUAGUUUGGGGGGUGACGGGGCUGGAGGUCUGAGCCUCUGUCUUCUUCUACCUUUUGGCUUUCAGGCACUAGUGAGUCCCACCUUGGGAUUUUUUGGGUGGACCGCCCCUGUGCUUGUCUGGAACAAUCUUGUUCUGUUUCUGCAUCUGCUGCAGCGAAGGCUACCCCCACCCCCACCCUCUGGCAUGGAAUUUUCCCAGUUAUUUUUAAAUAAGUCCCGUUUAUUUGUGCUUAGAAUUCAGAUAAGAACCACCAGCCUCGCACAGAUGCGAAGCCCAAGCCGUGAAAGGCACAGCCAUGGCGGCCAUCGCCACGUCGUGUCUCUUCCCACACUCAGGCUGCUGGCGAAGGGAAACGUCCCAUUUUCCAUGUCUGAAAAGCGACAUGAGGACACAGCCUCCAACAGACAAGACGAGCCUCUCUGGAGAAAGCCAGGGAUGGAUGCUUCUGAGAGCUCAGCGGGAGGGCUCUGAACUGCAUCUGCUCAUUCUGAUUGAAAAUAUGUUAAAAGGGAGGAAAAAAAUUAAACCAAAGACCUCACCGAGUAACUCAACUGUAAACCCUAGAGAAUGAAGUCUGCCACACAUCCCCGUGGGGUUUCCACUAAUACUGCGGGCCGGGCGAAGCUUCAGGUCUCUGUGCGUUGUAGGAGAGGGCGUAUCAGCUAGCUACUGCUGUAUAACAAGCGAGCCCCAAACCACUGUAGCUUGCAAUGACUGCUUAAUUUUGCUUCAGGCUUGCCAGAUACUUCGGAUGACUUCGGCAGGCAGCGAGCGUUCCAUGAACUUUCUCGCACACCUGUGGGCUGUUGGUGGGUGGGCAGAGGGUAUUGGCUUCAUGUGGCUUCUUCUCCAGGAGGCUAACUAGGGUUUGUUCUUGUCUCAGGGGUUGGGUCCCUCACCACAAAGCAUAGGUAAGUCAUGCGUGUUGAAGCUAUGACUUUGGAAGUGGCUCCAAUACCAGGAGUGAGGAAAUGGGACCUGUCUCUUUGUGGGAGGGCUGUGAGCUCACAUGGAGGGCUCCAUGAUGUAUGAAUAGAUAUACAGGGGGAGGGGGAGUGUCCAUGCUGGGUGUCAGUCCCUCCGUGCAGCCUGGGGUGGCCUGGAUUUGAGGCUGGUGUGUGGGCUCCUGGGCUUGACUAGGGAUCAGAGUCACAAGCUGUGUAGUUCAAGGAGGACCGAGCCAAGCUCAACUCCAGUUGCAUGAUCAGCUUCACAGGGCCUGGCCUAGAACUGCAUACUCCUGUCUCCCUUCUUGAUUAGGGAUUGUUGUUCCUGGUUGCCCGGGAUGCCCCUGCCCUGCCCUGGCAGACUCUAAGGCCACACAGAAAAUCAUCCUAACCCACGUAGGAAAAAGAGGCUACAGAUCAGGAAACUGGUACAGAGGUCAGGAUGGUUGGCAAGAAGGAAACAGUGGGAGACGGAGGAGGGAUAUAAGGAAGGCAUGGGGCUGAAGGCUGGGUCUGGAAUAGAGCCUAACUUUAGUCCACCCAAGUUCAAGAGAAAAUGAUCACGGGGCCUGAAGUCUGCGUAGCUGCACCCACGUACUUGACUCAAAGGUGCAGGAGGGGUUCAAGGGAAUACAGAAUUCUGCAAUGAUCCACAUACUGAACACACUUCACGGCAGAGGUGCCCUGUGGGCCUCUGCCUUUCUGGAGAAAGCUGUGCAUAAUAGAAAGUUUUCACUUUUACUUUAUCACCACCCCAGAGACCCUUGGUGCACCUUAGUAGAAGGUGCCUUAGUGGGGAGGUCUGAGGCAGUUGGGGCUCCCAGGACGGCUAGGGUGGCUUUAGUCCUGGCUUUCAUCUGUGAACCUAUCUCCAGAGGGAGGGACCAGCCCAUGUGCGAGCGAGUCCUGUGCAUACAACCCUCAGUUGCCUGCCCCCAGAAGCCAGAGUUUGUAGCCAUUUAUUCAAGGGUCCUGGGGCUGUGGAAGCUCAGCUUCUCUUACUGUUUUCUUCCAAGUUGGGCUCAAAUCAGCCUUGCAUUUCUGCUUGACCGCGAGUUAUUUAAGGAUCUGGGUGCUUUUGAACGUCCAUAUCUGGGACUGUCACAAGACCUCAGGUCUCUGGACUCUGUGGUUGCUCCAGAGAACACCAAAACCCUAGAUGAUCAGUGUUUCUUCUGUUGGACAAGUCUGGGUUGUAUCUAUUCCAGGCUGGCCCGGCUCUGCCUCCUGCCCAUCUGGGAAGGCAGCCAGCUUGUAGUCUGAGGAAGCGAGGGUGCUCUGGGGCCAGGUGGAGGGACAGCAGGGUACCGGGUGCUUAUUUUUAGGAGCUUGUGGGUACUGCUGCCCACACUAGGUGGACAGGGACCCCUGAGCCGUCCUCGUGCCAGGGGAACGUAGCUUGGCAUUGGUCAGAACUACAGAUGGAUACCACCCCAGUCCUCACGGAUGCUGGUCUUGCCCCAGCUCCUCCCAUCUCUCCGGGUCUGAAGAGAAGGACGUGAGUUGUCAGCCUGUUCUGGGAUCUGGAGCCAGCACUGCCGCAAGGCAGAACUGAUAAACUAUAAGGCGUGUGUGUAAGGACCUUAGCUGUCAACCCACAUUGUCACCUUUAAGUCUCCUGGCUCAGGGAAGGUUCAGAGAUGCUGCAAACACAAACCUUUGUCCUCCACAGGUUGAAAAGCUGCCUGUGAGAACCUAGCCUUCUUUUGUGAUCCCGCUCUGUCUGGGCGCACACACACCAUACUAAGGAAGCCUCAUCAGGUCCUGCACGGGCCCCUGGCAGAAAGUAGACAGCACUCCAACAGCGUGACAUCAGAAGGACCAGGGGGAAUUCUGCUGCCUUCCCCAGAGCUGGCCCACAGGCCUACCUUGGCGGGAACCUAUCCAAGGAGUGGCCCGAUCUGCAAACAGAGAGCCCAGAGCGCCUCGGGGAAAAUUGGCUGAAUAAAAGGUAUAAAGACUUU